GUGCCAGCCGCCGCGGUAAUACCGGCAGCCCGAGUGAUGGCCGAUAUUAUUGGGCCUAAAGCGUCCGUAGCUGGCCAGACAAGUCCGUUGGGAAAUCCACGCGCUCAACGCGUGGGCGUCCAGCGGAAACUGCCUGGCUUGGGGCCGGAGGACUCGAGAGGUACGUCCGGGGUAGGAGUGAAAUCCCGUAAUCCCGAACAGACCACCGAUGGCGAAAGCACUUCGAGAAAACGGAUCCGACAGUGAGGGACGAAAGCCAGGGUCUCCAACCGGAUUAGAAACCCCUGUAGUCC
RNAcentral lists this ribosomal RNA (293 nucleotides) under uncultured bacterium. Its description in RNAcentral is "partial 16S ribosomal RNA". It matches the Rfam family "Archaeal small subunit ribosomal RNA", at positions 455 to 747 of the family's 1478-position model. The record is from RNAcentral.